AUGAUAUCUUUUUCUUCCUCAUUCUUAUUUUGGUUUUCAUAUCACGGAUGUUGGUUCACGCUUUAUGACAUUUUAACGAGAAAACUAAUCGAAUCCCACAAAGGAUUGGUCGUGGAACUACUAUCAAAAUUAUUCAGACCAUAUUUCCAAGUGUCAUUCUUUUGUUCAUUGCUAUACCAUCCUUUGCUCUGUUAUACUCAAUGGAUGCGGUAUUAG
RNAcentral lists this ribosomal RNA (216 nucleotides) under Triticum aestivum (bread wheat). RNAcentral's name for it is "partial small subunit ribosomal RNA". The record is from RNAcentral. Lineage: Eukaryota; Viridiplantae; Streptophyta; Magnoliopsida; Poales; Poaceae.